GAUGAACGCUGACAGAAUGCUUAACACAUGCAAGUCUUUGGCGAAGCUGUGCUUGCACAGCCUAGCCAAGGCGGACGGGUGAGUAACGCGUAAGGAACUUGCCCUGCAGUCAGGGAUAACAGACGGAAACGACUGAUAAGACCUGGUAAAGUCAGGCGGACUCAUGUCCAGCCUGAUGAAAAGAGAUGCUGCAGGAGAGCCUUGCGUCCUAUUAGCUUGUUGGUGGGGUAACGGCCCACCAAGGCGAUGAUAGGUAGCCGGCCUGAGAGGGUGGACGGCCACAAGGGGACUGAGAUACGGCCCUUACUCCUACGGGAGGUAGCAGUGGGGAAUAUUGGACAAUGGGGGCAACCCUGAUCCAGCAAUUCUGUGUGCACGAUGAAGGUUUUCGGAUUGUAAAGUGCUUUCAGCAGGGAAGAAAAAAAUGACGGUACCUGCAGAAGAAGCGACGGCUAAAUACGU
Molecule: ribosomal RNA, 462 nt
Filed under: uncultured bacterium
Lineage: Bacteria
Description: partial 16S ribosomal RNA
Rfam family: Bacterial small subunit ribosomal RNA
Source: RNAcentral